Molecule: long non-coding RNA, 229 nt
Organism: Bufo gargarizans (Asiatic toad)
Lineage: Eukaryota; Metazoa; Chordata; Amphibia; Anura; Bufonidae
Exons: 3
Source: RefSeq, a predicted model, not a curated record
GGGUACAGUGACCGACUUUCUGCCUUGUAAACCGCCAGGACCAUUGUUCAAAUGAGCAUGUAGUUGGCAACAAGAAAAUUAUAAAGAAACGCACCAUGCAUGAUGCAAAGAAAAUCUUUGAUUUCAAAUCACCUUACCUAAUUACCUUUCGCUUUCAUUAAAAAAGAAAAAUAUACAAAAAAAAAAAAUGUAAUCUUAGCCAUACUCUCCUCCCUUUACUCCUGGAAUC